Molecule: long non-coding RNA, 1558 nt
Organism: Amphiprion ocellaris (clown anemonefish)
Lineage: Eukaryota; Metazoa; Chordata; Actinopteri; Pomacentridae
Source: Ensembl
AGUCACGUGACCAAACCACGCCUCGGCACAGUGGCUCGAUACGUUUGCUUCAUGAGCUACAGCGCAUGUGUCGAAGCCUCGGGUAUCAGAGGACCAUCACUACUCAUGGCGCCUGCGCAGACGCUCGGUGGAAUUUCUGUUUACGUUUGAAUCAGCGACUCGCUCCUGGAAGCUGCGGAGAUUUAACCGGUAAAAAUGUGAUUAAAGUCAACAUUGAUCAUCAGUUCCUGGCUGCUGUGGAGAAAAUCUGUGGACCAGAGACAGACUUUACUGUCGGUGAACGUUUAUUACCGGUUCCUGAUUUCCCAGCAGGGUUGGCGUUCCUCUGAAUAUGUUUCCGGUGAUGAAGAUAACUCCAUCCAAAGCUUCCAUGCAGACGUCCGUCGCUGCAGCGAAGAUCAAGAAUAAGAUUCUCAACACCUCGUCCUUCUUCAAGGUCUCUCUGAAGACCAACAAUAAGGCUCUGGCUCGGGCUCUGGAGGCCCAGAAGGAAAGAUGUCGGGAGCUGGAGAAGGAGGUGGUCUUCCUGAAGAAACAGAUCGAAGCCGACUGCUUCGAACGGGCGACCAAGAACUACAAGCAGAGUAAACUGAUCCUGAUCGUGAAGAACCUGCUCAGUAACACUCUGCAGCACUGGAACAUGGUGACGGAUCUGUUCCCUGAACCCGAGCUUUCAGAAGAUGCUUUGAUGUUCCCUGAAAUCAACCAGGCUCCUGCUGCAGCAGAAAGCCUCACAGAUCAGUUGCUGCUGCAGCCGGAAGUUUUCAGUGGUUCUUUGUGUCUGACUGAAACCGAAUCAGCUGACCAGCCUGAGAAGAUCCCCAGCAAAGACGUCUGCAGCGUCCAGAGACACGACAAGUCCUCACACGUUUCUGAUGCAGGAAGAGUUCUAUUGUCGCUGACGAACACGAUGUCGACUCCAGACGGGGAAGCUGGAGGAAGGACCAGGAGGAGGAGGAAAGGUGUGGUCAAUUACCUCGAGCCGACUCUGAGGAGCAAACUGAGGCGAGGAGACGAACACACCGACAGCACGUUCCUCAGCUCCCCAAUGUUCAAGGACAAGAGGAAGAAGAAAACUGUCAGCAAAACCAAGACAGACAGACCCAUGUUACUGGACUGAUUAUUAUCAGUUUCUCUGUUUAACUUUAUUUUUAGUUGUUUUUUCAAGUUUGCCUUAAAGUUCAAUAAAGAUGUUUUCUGGUAAAUUUGAAGUAUCUUUAAAGUUUCUCCUGGAGGUCAGUCCAUUUAUAGUCUGUGUUACGUCAUCUAACAAAAAUAUGCAUUUUCUUUUCAUUUCUGACCAUUUUAUCGAUAAAAUUAUACUUGAGUCACUGAAACCACAACUAGUAAAACUAGUUAGAAAUCUAGUUGUUCUUCUCAAUUCUUUACAUUUUGGAUAAAACCUCCUUAGAAAACUCUGUAUUCUUUGUAGUGGAGGAAAUAUUUGUAGUACUUGAGUCAUUUUUAUUGCUUCUGUGCUUCUAGUACAAAUGUUUCACUCCACUAUAUUUAACGGCUGUUUCACUGAAGGGCUUUAACUAAUAAAUGUCAUCAAUUU